RNAcentral lists this ribosomal RNA (423 nucleotides) under Triticum aestivum (bread wheat). RNAcentral describes it as "partial small subunit ribosomal RNA". Lineage: Eukaryota; Viridiplantae; Streptophyta; Magnoliopsida; Poales; Poaceae. The record is from RNAcentral.
AUGGGUUGCAGCAGUGGGACACUUCAUUGCAAAGGAGGUUAUGCUCCACAAGGGGCACCUUUGUCUUAUUUAUCUGCUGGUUCUCCUUGCGUCAUUGCAAAUCUCUGGGACGUCUCGGAUAAAGAUAUUGAUCGAUUUAGUAAAGCAUUACUCAAUUCAUGGUUGAAAGAAGAUUUUAAGAACUGCUCUAAAUGUGGCCGCCCACUAACACAAGGAUUUGAGUCCAUGACCAUUGCUGCUGCAAAGGAUAAUGGCACGCCAAGACGAAAAGGUACACAACAAGGUCAGAAGCACCAACAGACAGCAGAGAGAAAUGUCAGUAGUAAAAAUCGCUGUAAUUGCGGGCACAGGCGAAUAGCUUGGCUUAUGAUCGGUGCAUCUCCUGUUUGUUAUGGUGUGCCUACUAUCAUCAGGAAGAAAUAA